This is a long non-coding RNA of Dicentrarchus labrax (European seabass), 1821 nucleotides long. RefSeq lists it as uncharacterized. Lineage: Eukaryota; Metazoa; Chordata; Actinopteri; Moronidae. The transcript has 2 exons. The record is from RefSeq and is a predicted model, not a curated record.
AAGGACAACCCUCUUCGGUUAUCUGGUUCUAAUGAGGCUUGUUCCCGUGGUGACUAGAUUCUCAGCAGGUGAUUUAUAGCAUCACAUAGUCAUCACCUCCAAAGCGUCUGGUCCUAGAGUGAAGGACGACAGCUUGUGAUCGGGAACAGCUGUGGAAAACAGCCACCAUUCAGCACCAACCCAGCAAUAUCUCUUGGGCACUUGUUUGAGCAGCAAAAGUUGUCGGUUCUCAAUUUGUUCAAUGCUUCAGUUUAUCCCAGCUUUGUUUAUUUCUUUCUUGGACAUAUUUAAUUUUCCUACCGUCUAGGUGUUCUGUAAAAAAAAGAAAAGAUUAUUAUUUUAUUUUUAAAUUUUUUAUUUUAUUUGUAUCAAAAACAAACUCUCAGCAGACGCCAGCUCAGUCUGAAAGCUGCCAUUUUAUGGAAGUGGAUGAACAUACCUCCCCAAAAUUAGGCUCCAUGUAAACAUAGCUACUUUAGCUCAUGUUACACAGCUGUUCCGAUUAAAUGCAUUGCCGCAUGUAGACACCAGAUCAUAUUAGAUCACAUCCCAUUUAAACAGCUAACCCCCAUUUAAAUCAGAAUGAAAAAAAGCCUGCAUGUAAGCUGAGCUAGUGAUUCCCCGACCCACGUGUCCACUAGAGAAGUCUACAACUACUUUUUAUUAGUUCUACCUCUUCAUGUCCUACAUUGUUUUCGCAAUUGCUGCACGGAUGACAGGAUGCAGCUUGCCAUGUCAUUACAUAUCUGGCUUAAGCCACAACUAGAAACUAGAGUGAAGUGAAUUCAAAGGGGUCAAACUAGGCUGGGGAUCUUGUUAGAUGAUGGAAGAUGACCCGACCUCAGAGGACCUAGAGACUGUACAAUGCCCUCGUAUGUGGCUCCUCAAUAUCAGACCAGUUCUUGAAAAGUUGAUAUAAGAUGUAGACAGAAUAGGUAUUGUGUGAGUAGUAGAGCGGAGUAUACGACUUUCUGAGCAAGGACAGACAUUUUUUCUUCUUUCUUCCCCUUUCAUUUUCAUUUUCAGAAGUAGUGCAAGUUUCGUGUAUUUUCUGUGUGAAUUUACAUAAACCUGUAAAAGAACCUUAAACUAAUGGCGUUUAGGUACAUAAAAAUAAGCAUUAUGACGUGAAAGGGUUAUACUUCAAAUUAUUCUUUAAUGAGCUGAGCCUGCCAACUACAAUCAGAUAUAACCAAUGGAUUUACCACAGCCAUGCAUCAUUAAUGGAUCCCACCUCAGGCUAUUAAGGCUCUCCGAGAAAAUGAUAAGCUUUAGGCCACAUCCAAACGUCAUUUGAGUCUCUCUGUGAUUAGGAGAAUCUUCACCGGUUAGAGAAUGGAGCUGUCAGAAAGGAAAUAUAGCCAGUACCCCUCAACCUCCGUAUCAGAUAUGCACAAAAGAGUACAUGGCCAUCUACAGUCCUUUACAAAGAAAUUCAUAGCUAUAAAAAACUUCCCCUUGAAUUGGCAGUCAUUGUCUCAACUCUCCAUCCUCAGGCUAUUCUGCAGAGGCUCUGGUGCAGCUGCCUUUAUCAGAGCAGCCCCCUAAUCAGUAACCGAAUUCUCCCUUAGCAAUCAAGUCCAAGUUCUGGUGGUGAAAUCAGCAGAAAUAAAACACAGCUGAAGAUAAUGAAGGUGUGAGCAAGAGAAUUAAAGACAAGAGUGUGAAAGAAAAAGGCAAGGAAGGAGGAGGCAGAGCAGGAACAGUCCACUAAUUAGACACACCUCUGAAACCUGUUAAGGUACAAGCUGAAAUGACCUUCUCCUGUUGAGAUCGCCCCCUUUUUCGUCACUGAAUAAACAAAUGAAUGGUAAACUGAAA